UAUUGGGCAAUGGGCGCAAGCCUGAUCCAGCCAUGCCGCGUGGAUGAUGAAGCCCCCUCAGCCCCGUAAAGUCCUUUUAACGGGGAAGAUAAUGACGGUACCCGUAGAAUAAGCCCCCGGCUAACUUCGUGCCAGCAGCCGCGGUAAUACGAAGGGGGCUAGCGUUGCUUGGAAUCACUGGGCGUAAAGCGCACGUAGGCGGAUCUUUAAGUCGGUGGUGAAAUCUUGGAGCUCAACUCCAGAACUGCCUUCGAUACUGAGGGUCUCGAGUCCGGGAGAGGUGAGUGGAACUGCGAGUGUAGAGGUGAAAUUGGUAGAUAUUCGCAAGAACACCAGGGCGAAGGCGGCUCAGGGGCCCGGUACGACGCGAGGGCGAAA
This 378-nucleotide ribosomal RNA is filed under the name uncultured bacterium. RNAcentral describes it as "bacterial SSU rRNA". It matches the Rfam family "Bacterial small subunit ribosomal RNA", at positions 362 to 758 of the family's 1533-position model. The record is from RNAcentral.